CCUACGGGUGGCAGCAGUGGGGAAUAUUGGACAAUGGGCGCAAGCCUGAUCCAGCCAUGCCGCGUGAGUGAUGAAGGCCUUAGGGUUGUAAAGCUCUUUUACCCGGGAAGCGGUACCGGGAGAAUAAGCCCCGGCUAACUUCGUGCCAGCAGCCGCGGUAAUACGAAGGGGGCUAGCGUUGUUCGGAUUUACUGGGCGUAAAGCGCACGUAGGCGGAUUCUUAAGUCAGAGGUGAAAUGCCGAGGCUCAACCUCGGAACUGCCUUUGAUACUGGGGAUCUCGAGUUCGGGAGAGGUGAGUGGAACUGCGAGUGUAGAGGUGAAAUUCGUAGAUAUUCGCAAGAACACCAGUGGCGAAGGCGGCUCACUGGCCGAACUGACGCUGAGGUGCGAAAGCGUGGGGAGCAAACAGGAUUAGAUACCCUUGUAGUC
Molecule: ribosomal RNA, 431 nt
Filed under: uncultured bacterium
Lineage: Bacteria
Description: partial 16S ribosomal RNA
Rfam family: Bacterial small subunit ribosomal RNA
Source: RNAcentral